Chrysemys picta bellii (western painted turtle) is the source of this 1484-nucleotide non-coding RNA. The record is from RefSeq and is a predicted model, not a curated record. Lineage: Eukaryota; Metazoa; Chordata; Testudines; Emydidae.
CUCUCUAUGUUCUCUCUCCAGAUAUACCUGGGCAGAGGUUGGAAAGCUGAGGCUGGGAGGAUCAUUGAUGGAACUCGGACAGCCCCAUUCCCAUCGGCCGCCUCACCCCACGCUGUCCAUCUCGAGACGUUGGGGAAAGGAGCUCAGCUGGAGGGUGUGCGUGUCACUGUUACCGGAGGAGAUAAUCUGGAAAACUGGAAUCCUGUAACAGUGUGAUCACUGGAAGGAUCUGAACACGUGAACAUAACAGACUCCCUGGAGAGAGACCCAGAUAUUGGGUGUGGCUGAUGCCUAGCAGCCUGGGGCUUGGGGCCCCAUGCCCAUGAAGAGCCCCACAAGACAAUGGCCACGCCAGCAACUAACGACCAUGGAUGGCCCCCCCUCUGCAGGAAGGCAGUGGGGUGUGUCCAGCUGGAGAACAAAGGGCUAAGGAGAUGGGUCAGGUGACAAGGUUUCCCCGGUAACAAGAACAAAGGACUGAGGAGGGGCCAGGUGGGGUUGCUCAGUGUGGGCUGCUGGCAGCAGAAGACGCUCAGGGACUGGGACUACAGAGGGGCCAGAGGACUCCGGACUGACCCAGAUGGACUUUGCUGUAACUUUCUGUUCUCUACGGUAACUAAGGUCUUUCUACGCUGGUUCCGAAAUAGCCAAUAAACCUCCUGCUGUUACCGCACUUGCUGAGAGUCACUGCAGUUUAAGGAAGGUGGGGGCGCGUUGCUCCCUUUGGGUGCGCAAGUGUCUGUCUCAGGUGUGCAAUGAGGUGGUGUCGCUGCGGGGAGCUCGAGGUGUGACCCAGGGGUGCUGAAGGCUCCAAGGUUCAGUCCCAGGAGGUGCUGCAGCCAAAUGGCCCCUAGUGAGACUGUGACCCUACGGGUGCUGACACAUGGACGGGGCCCUCCCAGGCACGGCUCCAGAGCGGCUCUAGAGCACCGCACCUGAGGCUCUGUCACAGGGUGGGCGUCAGAUCCCUAGAGACUCUCCCAUCAAACAGCAGGAAAACCAGGGGCUCACCUGUCACUGUGAUGGAGACAAAGUUGCUGUUCUCAGAUGAGAUCUCUGGAUUGGAUUCCCAUCUCCAGUACGCACAGGUGUAUGUCCCAGCAUUUCCCUUCGCAGCUGUGAGCUCCAGCCGGGCGCCUUCAUUCAGGUGUUGGACUACGCUGGGAUCCCCUUGCCCUUUUUGAUAGAAGAAUCUGUAUCCCAAAACCUGCUCAGACCCAGGAGCCGAGCACGUGAGGGUAACCCACUCCCCUGGGAGAUACACUGUGUACUCGGGGUCCCGAGAGAGCGUGGGGGCCGGCAGGUGAUCUAGAACAGAGGCAGAGGAGUCAAUACAUAGAAAGAAGCUAUAAUGGGAUGAGGAGAAGGGAGAAAGGGGAAGAGAUGAGUCCUGGACAGACAUGAUUGCAAGCCAGCCUCAUCUCACUGCCCAGCACCCACCCCCCAUACUGGUAAAUACACCAUGGCAAAUGAACCACAGCCCG